Molecule: ribosomal RNA, 363 nt
Filed under: uncultured bacterium
Lineage: Bacteria
Description: partial 16S ribosomal RNA
Rfam family: Bacterial small subunit ribosomal RNA
Source: RNAcentral
CCUACGGGUGGCAGCAGUGAGGAAUAUUGGUCAAUGGCCGGAAGGCUGAACCAGCCAUGCCGCGUGAAGGUCAGUGCCCUAUGGGCGUUAAACUUCUUUUGUGCGGGAGCAAUAAUGGUCAUGUGUGGCCAGACGAGAGUACCGUACGAAUAAGCAUCGGCUAACUCCGUCCCAGUAGCCGCGGGAAUACCGGGGGUGAAAGCGUUUUCCGGAUUUAAUGGGUUUAAAGGGUGCGUAGGCUGUGAUGUAAGUAUGCGGGGAAAUGCCCCCGCUCAACGGGGUGAAGUGCCAUUGAUACUGGCUUGCUGGAGUGCGGAUGCGGUGGGAGGAAUGUGUGGUGUAGCGGUGAAAUGCGUAGAUAUC